RNAcentral lists this ribosomal RNA (255 nucleotides) under uncultured bacterium. RNAcentral describes it as "partial 16S ribosomal RNA". It matches the Rfam family "Bacterial small subunit ribosomal RNA", at positions 524 to 777 of the family's 1533-position model. The record is from RNAcentral.
UACAGAGGGGGCAAGCGUUGUUCGGAAUUACUGGGCGUAAAGGGCGCGUAGGCGGCCUUCUAAGUCGAACGUGAAAUCCCCGGGCUCAACCCGGGAACUGCGUCCGAUACUGGAAGGCUUGAAUCCGGGAGAGGGAUGCGGAAUUCCAGGUGUAGCGGUGAAAUGCGUAGAUAUCUGGAGGAACACCGGUGGCGAAGGCGGCAUCCUGGACCGGUAUUGACGCGUGAGGCGCGAAAGCCAGGGGAGCAAAGCGGG